CGGACUUUUGUUAACAUAACACGACUUUAAGGUUGGACGAAACAUCCCUAAUAUCUAUGAGAGACACGAGUAAAGCUGAAGUCUAACUACAAAGAAAGUUUUGCCGGCUGAUGUGACCAGUGUUGACGUCUGUCCUUGUUUUCAGUUCACC
Long non-coding RNA from Thalassophryne amazonica, 151 nucleotides. RefSeq lists it as uncharacterized. The transcript is spliced from 3 exons. The record is from RefSeq and is a predicted model, not a curated record. Lineage: Eukaryota; Metazoa; Chordata; Actinopteri; Batrachoidiformes; Batrachoididae.